This 497-nucleotide ribosomal RNA is filed under the name uncultured bacterium. RNAcentral's name for it is "partial 16S ribosomal RNA". It matches the Rfam family "Bacterial small subunit ribosomal RNA", at positions 28 to 507 of the family's 1533-position model. The record is from RNAcentral.
GAUGAACGCUGGCGGCGUGCCUAAUACAUGCAAGUCGAGCGAACAGACGAGGAGCUUGCUCCUCUGACGUUAGCGGCGGACGGGUGAGUAACACGUGGAUAACCUACCUAUAAGACUGGGAUAACUUCGGGAAACCGGAGCUAAUACCGGAUAAUAUAUUGAACCGCAUGGUUCAAUAGUGAAAGACGGUUUUGCUGUCACUUAUAGAUGGAUCCGCGCCGCAUUAGCUAGUUGGUAAGGUAACGGCUUACCAAGGCGACGAUGCGUAGCCGACCUGAGAGGGUGAUCGGCGACACUGGAACUGAGACACGGUCAAGACUACUACGGGAGGCAGCAGUAGGGAAUCUUCCGCAAUGGGCGAAAGCCUGACGGAGCAAAGCCGCGUGAGUGAUGAAGGUCUUCGGAUCGUAAAACUCUGUUAUUAGGGAAGAACAAAUGUGUAAGUAACUAUGCACGUCUUGACGGUACCUAAUCAGAAAGCCACGGCUAACUACGUG